Molecule: ribosomal RNA, 482 nt
Filed under: uncultured bacterium
Lineage: Bacteria
Description: bacterial SSU rRNA
Rfam family: Bacterial small subunit ribosomal RNA
Source: RNAcentral
UUGAACGCUGGCGGCAUGCUUUACACAUGCAAGUCGAACGGUAACAGGGAGCUUGCUCCGCUGACGAGUGGCGAACGGGUGAGUAAUGCAUCGGAACGUACCCAGUCGUGGGGGAUAACGUAGCGAAAGUUACGCUAAUACCGCAUACGUCCUGAGGGAGAAAGCGGGGGACCGUAAGGCCUCGCGCGAUUGGAGCGGCCGAUGUCGGAUUAGCUAGUUGGUGGGGUAAAGGCCUACCAAGGCGACGAUCCGUAGCGGGUCUGAGAGGAUGAUCCGCCACACUGGGACUGAGACACGGCCCAGACUCCUACGGGAGGCAGCAGUGGGGAAUUUUGGACAAUGGGGGCAACCCUGAUCCAGCCAUGCCGCGUGAGUGAAGAAGGCCUUCGGGUUGUAAAGCUCUUUCAGACGGAACGAAACGGUUCUCUUUAAUAAAGAGGGCUAAUGACGGUACCGUAAGAACAAGCACCGGCUAACUACGU